AUACAAACCUCUUUCAGUCUUCUUUCCCCCAAAUUGCUUUAGCCUUUAGAAAACAGUAGCAAUACCAAGAACGCGCCUCACGCGCGGAGAAAAACCAGAGGGAGAUCGAGAGUGCUCUCUCCCGGCCGAACGCCACCGGCUCACCUGCUACUGUGUUCCGGUCCGGGAGAGGAUGACAACAUGGUCUAGCGGCGGGUUCUAGGGCGGAAGCCUGGCUUAGGGAUGGAGGAGGGCGGCGCGAUCUCGGACGUAGAAGACCAAUCUGGACUCUUUCUUCUUGGAUCGCGGGUGACUUCCGACAUGGAACAUCGGCGAGGUGCGAUUUGCGGGCGGGGCACAUUUUUCCGGCUGCUUUUGGCGUCAUCGGUGCUUAUGAGAGCUUGGAGAUGGCUGGGUUCUCGAUCUCAUGGCAGAGGCGAGCCCAGAUGGGAUCCGAUUCCUUAUGGAAUUUGAUCUAGAACGAUGGCCAGGUUCUGGUAUGGGCGACUUUGUGGUGUGACAGUGUUGUGGCGUUGGGAUGCGAUGCAGCCGCGGGGCAGUGCAAGGUGGAGAGAUGGCGGGGUGUUAUUUUGGUUAUGUAGAGUGUAUCUGGAAAAACGUAUUUGCUUCCACAAUUGCAGCUAAUCAGCUAUAUCUCAAAGUUGAGCCACCCCCAACAGCUAAUGGCAGGAAAUUUGGUGGGAAUCCAGUUGUGGCAGUGUUUUACCUGGAGGACAAGUUUGCUCAUGGUGACUAUGACGCUAGUUGCUAGCCCUUUUGUAUUAUUAACUUCAGAUUAUCGAGAUCGUGCUCCUGGAGUUCCUUCAAGGCCUCAAACCCCAGCAGCCAACAGAGAUUUUUGAGUUGGUUUUAGAGAUUUUUGUGUGCAGGGAAGAAAAAGAAGAGAGAUAUUCAUUGCCACCAAACCCUCCAUAUAGUAGAAUCCUUAGAUCUGGCUCCUUAUGACAAGCAAGCAACUCCUGAACAGAAUUCUCUCAAGGGAAUGAAAGAUCCAAAGCUUGAUUGAAAUCUAAAGACACAAAAAGAAGAUGGGCCAAGGAGAUCAGGUCUUGUCACUUGCAUGCUACUCAAAGAAGACUCGGUAAAUUUAGAUGAUGCUAUGGAUCGAGACUGCAAAUAAUGUUGUUUUGUUGGAAAUAAAUGUUGCCUUAACACUUGAAGUCCUUUCUCUUUAACAGAAUACAUGAAGAUAUGCAUUGGUGCUGCACUGGCUGCAUAGCAUUGUUGCUGGCAACUUUGAUGGUAACAUUGGCAGUAUAGAAACUUGUCAGGAACUUUGUAAUAGUAAAGAUUUAACAAUUAUCUGGUAUUGUAUAUCCAUUCCUACUGUAUUUUAGAGACAAAUAUAUGAUUUUGUUUAAUAAAAGUGAAGGUGGAUUAUAUUA
Long non-coding RNA from Rosa chinensis, 1385 nucleotides. RefSeq lists it as uncharacterized. The record is from RefSeq and is a predicted model, not a curated record. NCBI's taxonomy places the organism in Eukaryota, Viridiplantae, Streptophyta, Magnoliopsida, Rosales, Rosaceae. The transcript is spliced from 7 exons.